GCGGACGUGGCGGAAUGGCAGACGCGCUGGACUUAGAAUCCAGUGGGCAACCGUGCAAGUUCAAAUCUUGUCGUCCGCACCA
This 82-nucleotide transfer RNA is filed under the name Clostridia bacterium. RNAcentral describes it as "tRNA-Leu". It matches the Rfam family "tRNA". From Rfam's summary of the family: Transfer RNA (tRNA) molecules are approximately 80 nucleotides in length. Their secondary structure includes four short double-helical elements and three loops (D, anti-codon, and T loops). The record is from RNAcentral. Lineage: Bacteria; Bacillati; Bacillota; Clostridia.